AGAAGUUUAGGUUUAACCAAACCAAGGGCCUUCAAAGCCCUAAAUAAGAGCCCGACUACCCUCCUAACUUCUG
Molecule: transfer RNA, 73 nt
Filed under: Cyrtodactylus triedrus (Spotted bent-toed gecko)
Lineage: Eukaryota; Metazoa; Chordata; Lepidosauria; Squamata; Gekkonidae
Description: tRNA-Trp
Source: RNAcentral